This 253-nucleotide ribosomal RNA is filed under the name uncultured bacterium. RNAcentral's name for it is "partial 16S ribosomal RNA". It matches the Rfam family "Bacterial small subunit ribosomal RNA", at positions 524 to 776 of the family's 1533-position model. The record is from RNAcentral.
UACGUAGGGCGCGAGCGUUGUCCGGAUUUAUUGGGCGUAAAGAGCUCGUAGGUGGUUCGUCGCGUCUGUCGUGAAAGCCAGCAGCUUAACUGUUGGUCUGCGGUGGGUACGGGCGGGCUUGAGUGCGGUAGGGGUGACUGGAAUUCCUGGUGUAGUGGUGGAAUGCGCAGAUAUCAGGAGGAACACCGAUGGCGAAGGCAGGUCACUGGGCCGUUACUGACGCUGAGGAGCGAAAGCGUGGGGAGCGAACAGG